GACGAACGCUGGCGGCGUGCUUAACACAUGCAAGUCGAACGGAAAGGCUCUGCUUUUGUGGGGUGCUCGAGUGGCGAACGGGUGAGUAACACGUGAGUAACCUGCCCUUGACUUUGGGAUAACUUCUGGAAACUGGGGCUAAUACCGGAUAGGAGCUCCUGCUGCAUGGUGGGGGUUGGUAAGUUUCGGCGGUUGGGGACGGACUCGCGGCUUAUCAGCGUGUUGGUGGGGUAGUGGCUUACCAAGGCUUUGACGGGUAGCCGGCCUGAGAGGGUGACCGGCCACAUUGGGACUGAGAUACGGCCCAGACUCCUACGGGAGGCAGCAGUGGGGAAUAUUGCACAAUGGGCGGAAGCCUGAUGCAGCAACGCCGCGUGCGGGAUGACGGCCUUCGGGUUGUAAACCGCUUUCGCCUGUGACGAAGCGUGAGUGACGGUAAUGGGUAAAGAAGCACCGGCUAACUACGUG
RNAcentral lists this ribosomal RNA (468 nucleotides) under uncultured bacterium. Its description in RNAcentral is "partial 16S ribosomal RNA". It matches the Rfam family "Bacterial small subunit ribosomal RNA", at positions 28 to 507 of the family's 1533-position model. The record is from RNAcentral.